GGAUAAACUGCAUUGUCAUUUCUUUUAAGUAUUUGUUCUUGCUUUGUUUUGUCUUUUCAUGAUAUAGCCAUGGUUGCUGUCUGCCAAUACCCAUGUUUCUCCUUUUUCAUUGGGAAGCAGCCAUGGGUUUAGAGGAGAUUAAGUGUCCCAGCUCUUCUUGUACUAUUUAAAAUUUAUCUAAUCCCAUAGGGAACCCCACCCCAUUGUUAUAGUGAUUAAUUCAGGUAACAGAGGCUUAAGCCAGUCAGAGGACAACAUGCCCAUGGUCAGUGGCAUUGAUAUAAAAAUGUGUAUGUGAUUAAAGUUGAAUCAAUGAGUCAUGGGAGAAGAUUUUCUAAGGGCUUUAUAGAAAUAGUUACUUGCCCUUCCAGGUAAGCUAUCAAAAACCAACCCACUAGUAGUUACUGGGAAAUUGUAGUACAAGAAGUAGCUUAACAAUCUUGACCCCAGGAGUGAAGCCAGCCUUAUAAUGAUGUUGAAAUUGGCACAAAGGAAGGCAGAGUAGAGAGACAGAAGAAAGCUACUUGCUUAGAGAGACCACUGAGCUACUGAAUGAAACAUACUGAAGACCUUCCACUUUAUGAGGUCAUAAAUAAGUCCUCUUUGUUGUUUGAGUCACUUUAAGAGGACUAUUCCUAAAAGCCAAAUUUAACAACACAUCCAGCCUCAGACUCAGCAACUAUACCCCGGACCAUUUGCAUCAUGCUUGGAGUAUACUGUUAGAAUACAGAAAGGCAGCUGUGUAAAGAAAUAAGGGUCAUGAAAUCUGAUGAAGAGUUUUGAGGUCAUGUACAAGAAGGUGGGAAAAUAAGGAGAUCAUCAGAAAAAAAAAAAGACUCAGAAGAAAACUAGUGGUUUUUUGUUGCUGUUUUGUGUUGUUUUUAUCAACUCUGUGCCAGCCACUCUGACAAUUCACAGAUGCCAUCUCAUUUGUAAAACCAUCUCAUCUGGUCCCUGGACUUUGGGACUCAUUCUGCUCAACUUGAUCCCCACUCUGCCCAUUGAUCACAUACACACGUUUACACCUGGCAGAAGAGGAAGAGGAGGCAUGAAUGAAUGGCCUCUUCAGAAUGGAGAAAAGUUCAUGUCUAUGCAGCCUCUUCCACCUCUAGGGAAUCAUCAGUAUAAGCACUGGGCUUAUUUGCAGCUCACAGUCUGCAGCUAA
Molecule: long non-coding RNA, 1165 nt
Filed under: Pan troglodytes (chimpanzee)
Lineage: Eukaryota; Metazoa; Chordata; Mammalia; Primates; Hominidae
Description: lncRNA (ENSPTRG00000053470.1)
Source: RNAcentral